This 387-nucleotide long non-coding RNA is filed under the name Orbicella faveolata. RNAcentral describes it as "uncharacterized LOC110042720, transcript variant X2". Lineage: Eukaryota; Metazoa; Cnidaria; Anthozoa; Scleractinia; Merulinidae. The record is from RNAcentral.
CAUGCAUGAGGUGCAUGAAGUCCAAGGCCAUGAGCAGAGCAGUUUAUCCGGGUUACAGAAAGUUGAAAUCAGACACCAACCGACCAUUUCUGUUCCACAUGACUUGGGAUUCACAUGACUAUUGUCUUGUGGAUUGACUACCAUGGAAGAUUUGCUUGUGUCUAGGAGACUUCCAGAUUGUCUGGAAAAUGAAAGCUGGAAUAUUCUUUAUGGGAUAAUAACAGAGCUGGAGCCAUGCCAAGAUCACCUUUUAAAGGAACAUAUUACAUCAUUUCUUUUUUUGCUGAAAUUUUAAGACUAGCACCAUGGCUACCUUUAACAUGGAAUGCCAACUUCCAGGUGUGAGGUUAGUAUUAAUAAAACCUACAGUCACCAAACCAACACUCU